RNAcentral lists this ribosomal RNA (253 nucleotides) under uncultured bacterium. RNAcentral's name for it is "partial 16S ribosomal RNA". It matches the Rfam family "Bacterial small subunit ribosomal RNA", at positions 524 to 776 of the family's 1533-position model. The record is from RNAcentral.
UACGGAGGAGGCAAGCGUUAUCCGGAAUUAUUGGGCGUAAAGCGUCCGUAGGUGGCUAGUCAAGUCUGCGGUCAAAGACUGGGGCUUAACCCUGGAAAGGCCGUGGAAACUGACGAGCUAGAGUGCAGUAGGGGUAGAGGGAAUUCCCGGUGUAGCGGUGAAAUGCGUAGAGCUCGGGAAGAACAUCGGUGGCGAAGGCGGCCAGCUGGGCCGGACCUGACGCUGAGACGCGAAGGCGUGGGGAGCGAACGGG